GACGAACGCUGGCGGCGUGCCUAAUACAUGCAAGUCGAGCGGAGUUAGAGAAGCUUGCUUCUCUAACUUAGCGGCGGACGGGUGAGUAACACGUGGGCAAUCUGCCCGUAAGACUGGGAUAACUCCGGGAAACCGGGGCUAAUACCGGAUAAUCCUGACUCUCUCCUGAGAGUCAGUUGAAAGAUGGUUUCGGCUAUCACUUACGGAUGAGCCCGCGGCGCAUUAGCUAGUUGGUAGGGUAAUGGCCUACCAAGGCGACGAUGCGUAGCCGACCUGAGAGGGUGAUCGGCCACACUGGGACUGAGACACGGCCCAGACUCCUACGGGAGGCAGCAGUAGGGAAUCUUCCGCAAUGGACGAAAGUCUGACGGAGCAACGCCGCGUGAGUGAAGAGGUUUUCGGAUCGUAAAACUCUGUUGUUAGGGAAGAAUACGUACGAGAGUAACUGCUCGUACCUUGACGGUACCUAACCAGAAAGCCACGGCUAACUACGUG
Molecule: ribosomal RNA, 495 nt
Filed under: uncultured bacterium
Lineage: Bacteria
Description: bacterial SSU rRNA
Rfam family: Bacterial small subunit ribosomal RNA
Source: RNAcentral